RNAcentral lists this transfer RNA (87 nucleotides) under Solirubrobacter ginsenosidimutans. RNAcentral describes it as "Solirubrobacter sp. BXN5-15 tRNA". It matches the Rfam family "tRNA". From Rfam's summary of the family: Transfer RNA (tRNA) molecules are approximately 80 nucleotides in length. Their secondary structure includes four short double-helical elements and three loops (D, anti-codon, and T loops). Further hydrogen bonds mediate the characteristic L-shaped molecular structure. tRNAs have two regions of fundamental functional importance: the anti-codon, which is responsible for specific mRNA codon recognition, and the 3' end, to which the tRNAs corresponding amino acid is attached (by aminoacyl-tRNA synthetases). tRNAs cope with the degeneracy of the genetic code in two manners: having more than one tRNA (with a specific anti-codon) for a particular amino acid; and 'wobble' base-pairing, i.e. permitting non-standard base-pairing at the 3rd anti-codon position. RNAcentral also lists the same sequence under 1 other name. The record is from Rfam by way of RNAcentral. Lineage: Bacteria; Bacillati; Actinomycetota; Thermoleophilia; Solirubrobacterales; Solirubrobacteraceae.
GGAAGGGUGGCAGAGUGGUCUAUCGCACCGGUCUUGAAAACCGGAGAGGGCGCAAGUCCUCCGUGGGUUCGAAUCCCACCCCUUCCG